ACAGAACUACAGAGGUCCGGCACUCUUUUCUAAUUUGCUAAGAAAACUAAAGAUUGAUUAUGAAGAGGAAAGGAAUGAUAAAGGAUUCCUUUAACCUGCAGAGGAGGAAACAGAUUUUCCAGCUGGAAAUCAGCAAGAACUCUGGGUCAACUCAGGUGCAAAGAUGAAAAGUGAGAAUGAAAAUGAGAAAAAAAUCAAUAGAACAG
RNAcentral lists this long non-coding RNA (206 nucleotides) under Fukomys damarensis (Damara mole-rat). Its description in RNAcentral is "lncRNA (ENSFDAG00000031649.1)". The record is from RNAcentral. Lineage: Eukaryota; Metazoa; Chordata; Mammalia; Rodentia; Bathyergidae.